AAUUACAGAUUGGCUGCAGUCACCAGCUGUUUCUUCCAACAUCUGUAGUGUUAUAUGGAUAUUUGUUGAAGCUUCAGGCAAGAUGCCAUCUGAAGGAUGAAUGUAGCAAGCUAGCAGCGAUGGAGGGAGGUGAUUACUUCUGGGUCUAUCUAACAACAAGCAACAAGUGCAGAGGGACACACCGUGUCAUGGACAUGGACAUUGACAAACGCACCUCCAUAAAAGACAGGAGAAUAAAGAGCAACGUCAAAUAACAUAUAUCCCACACGAGAGGAUUGAAGAGAUGAUCCUAGAGGUGGCAUCUCAAAUUCGAGGAGUAAAGAGUGAACAAGAAAGGUGACAGCACAGAUCCCUGAGUCAACCCUUGGGCCAGACAGAGGCCGUACCCUCCCUUGCGGCACCACAACCACCUUGUGAGGAGACGCGAUGACCAUGAAAUCCUUAUCUCCCUCACUUCAGCACAAGCAGAUAUUGCUACACAGCGGCAUGGCUGCUACAGUAAAGUAAGUAGCAGUCUGAGUUUAUCUGUCUGCAAAGGGAUGAAUAAACUGGUUUGGU
This is a long non-coding RNA of Etheostoma cragini (Arkansas darter), 558 nucleotides long. RefSeq lists it as uncharacterized. NCBI's taxonomy places the organism in Eukaryota, Metazoa, Chordata, Actinopteri, Perciformes, Percidae. The record is from RefSeq and is a predicted model, not a curated record. The transcript is spliced from 4 exons.